RNAcentral lists this ribosomal RNA (464 nucleotides) under uncultured bacterium. Its description in RNAcentral is "partial 16S ribosomal RNA". It matches the Rfam family "Bacterial small subunit ribosomal RNA", at positions 28 to 507 of the family's 1533-position model. The record is from RNAcentral.
GACGAACGCUGGCGGCGUGCUUAACACAUGCAAGUCGAACGGAAAGGCCCAGCUUGCUGUGUGCUCGAGUGGCGAACGGGUGAGUAACGCGUGGGUGAUCUGCCCCUAACUUCGGGAUAAGCUUGGGAAACUGGGUCUAAUACCGGAUAGGACAAUCGUUUAGUGUCUGUCGUGGAAAGUUUUUUCGGUUAGGGAUGAGCCCGCGGCCUAUCAGCUUGUUGGUGGGGUAAUGGCCUACCAAGGCGUCGACGGGUAGCCGGCCUGAGAGGGUGGCCGGCCACAUUGAGACUGAGAUGCGGCCCAGACUCCUACGGGAGGCAGCAGUGGGGAAUAGUGCACAAUGGGCGCGAGCCGGAUGCAGCGACGCCGCGUGGGGGAUGACGGCCUUCGGGUUGUAAACCUCUUUCGACAGGGACGAAGCUGUGGUGACGGUACCUGUAUAAGAAGCACCGGCUAACUACGUG